Molecule: ribosomal RNA, 705 nt
Filed under: Triticum aestivum (bread wheat)
Lineage: Eukaryota; Viridiplantae; Streptophyta; Magnoliopsida; Poales; Poaceae
Description: partial small subunit ribosomal RNA
Source: RNAcentral
AUGAAGGAUGCUCUAGAGAGCCUUGCAGAUGUUGAUGAGAUGGAUAAACAGACCGCGAGGUGGAGGGAUGCAGUCAGGGAGAUGUCAUAUGACAUCGAGGAUAUUAUUGAUGACUUCAUCUGCAAAAUUGGGGAGAAAAGCAAAAAAUCUGGGUUUGUCCAUGACACCAUUCAACGCCUUAGAACUUCAAGGGUCCGCCAUAAGAUUGCUGGUCAGAUUGAGGACAUCAAGAAACUCGUACGUGAAACAAGUGCACGUAGUGAGAGGUAUAAGGUCGAUGUCCCCACAUCGCGCAAUGUGGCUGUUGACCAACGGGUUGUCGCACUCUAUGAGGAUGCAGCUAAACUUGUUGGUAUGGACGGCCCAACCAAUGAGCUUGUCAGUUGGCUAAAAGAUGAGGAGAAUGAGUUGAAGGUUGUAUCAAUUGUUGGCUUUGGAGGUUUAGGCAAAACAACACUCGCCAAUGAGGUGUACCAUAAGCUGAAGGGGGAGUUCAAUUGUGGUGCAUUUGUGCCAGUGUCUCAAAAGCCAAAUAUUUUGAAACUUCUGCAUAGUUUAUUAGCCCAACUCGGGUGUGGACAAUCUAUUCAUGAUUGCGAGUUAAAUGUUCUUCUUGAUCAACUCAGAGAUAAUCUAAAAACCAAGAGGCGGUACUUAUUCUUAGUUUGUAUAUGGUUGUUGUCCCCAUGUGCCCUUAGUACUUAA